This 355-nucleotide ribosomal RNA is filed under the name uncultured bacterium. RNAcentral's name for it is "bacterial SSU rRNA". It matches the Rfam family "Bacterial small subunit ribosomal RNA", at positions 527 to 881 of the family's 1533-position model. The record is from RNAcentral.
GUAGGUGGCGAGCGUUAUCCGGAAUGAUUGGGCGUAAAGGGAGCGUAGACGGAGUGGCAAGUCUGAUGUGAAAACCCGGGGCUCAACCCCGGGACUGCAUUGGAAACUGUCAAUCUAGAGUACCGGAGAGGUAAGCGGAAUUCCUAGUGUAGCGGUGAAAUGCGUAGAUAUUAGGAGGAACACCAGUGGCGAAGGCGGCUUACUGGACGGUAACUGACGUUGAGGCUCGAAAGCGUGGGGAGCAAACAGGAUUAGAUACCCUGGUAGUCCACGCCGUAAACGAUGACUACUAGGUGUCGGGCAGCAAAGCUGUUCGGUGCCGCAGCAAACGCAAUAAGUAGUCCACCUGGGGAGU